CAGGGUCUUGCUCUGUUGACCAGACCGUGACCUCCUGGGUUCAAGCGAGGACUCAGCCUCCUGAGUAGCCGGGACUACAGGGUCUUGCUCUGUUGACCAGACCGUGACCUCCUGGGUUGAAGUGAGGACUCAGCCUCCUGAGUAGCCGGGACUACAGGUUCUUGUUCUGUCAUCCAGGCUGGAGUGCAGUCGUUAUCCAAGCUCACUGCAGCCUUAAACUCCUGGGAUCCGUGGAUCCUCCCACCUCAGCCUCCAAAGAAGCUGGGACUACAGGUGCACACCACCAUGGCCAGCUAAUAUUUCUUAUUUUUUGUAGAGAUGAGGCCUUGCUGUAUU
This is a long non-coding RNA of Pan troglodytes (chimpanzee), 336 nucleotides long. RefSeq lists it as uncharacterized. The transcript is spliced from 3 exons. Lineage: Eukaryota; Metazoa; Chordata; Mammalia; Primates; Hominidae. The record is from RefSeq and is a predicted model, not a curated record.